GGCAGUCCUGCCUGUUUCUGCCUCAAGGUUGCAAAACUGGGUCCCAGUUGCCUGUACUCUGAGGUGGGAGCGUGCCACAGCCACCAGCAGAGGCUGUCCCGAUGUCAGGGAAGGAAACUGAGGCUCAGUGGGGCUGGGAUCACACAGACCGUAAGUGAAGAGUUGCGUGUCUGGACAGCUGUUGUGGCGCCCUGGCCAUCCCAAAAGCUCCAGCAUUCCAUUUCAAGGAUCUCUUGCUGGCUUCCCUCCUACCAUCAUUCCUCUGAGAGAACGUGGCCUUGAGAACAAGGAGUGGAGAGCUGCCAGCUACUGCCACCUGACACAGAGCCUCAUUGCCCUUGCCUGUCUCCUUCCCCUGUCCAUCUUCAGUGUAGGGUCAAGAAGUGGGUCACUCCUUCCUUUUAUCCGAGGUGGACUUCUUGUUUUCUCCCCCCAGAGGUUGCCACGUGUCUAAUUGCCCAUCAAGCUAGAGUGGUGGAGGGAAAUUGGUAUCAAAGAGUUUU
RNAcentral lists this long non-coding RNA (503 nucleotides) under Equus asinus (donkey). RNAcentral describes it as "lncRNA (ENSEASG00005031870.1)". The record is from RNAcentral. Lineage: Eukaryota; Metazoa; Chordata; Mammalia; Perissodactyla; Equidae.